AUUGUACUCCCUUUCUCCCAAAAUUCUUGUCUUAGAUUUGUCUAAAUACGGAUGUAUCUAGUUACGUUUUAGUGUUAGAUACAUCCGUAUCUAGACGAAUCUAAGACAAGAAUUUUGGGAUGGAGGGAGUACUAA
Molecule: non-coding RNA, 135 nt
Organism: Triticum urartu
Lineage: Eukaryota; Viridiplantae; Streptophyta; Magnoliopsida; Poales; Poaceae
Source: Rfam